RNA transcript from Daphnia pulex (common water flea), 948 nucleotides. RefSeq lists it as uncharacterized. The transcript has 6 exons. The record is from RefSeq and is a predicted model, not a curated record. Lineage: Eukaryota; Metazoa; Arthropoda; Branchiopoda; Diplostraca; Daphniidae.
UCGAUUCCAAAUCUGUUCACAGUCGGACUUUUGCCGCUUUGGCCAUGGGCAUGAGAGAUUGGGUCUUUGCAAUUGCAGAGAUGCCAGAUACAGACGUUUUUAAUUGCAAAACUGAAAAAAUGGCAAUGUUGUGGCUUGCGUGUUAUUUUCAAGAUGGCUGCUGUCAUUUGACGAGAAUCGACAGCAACUGCAGAUCUCUGAAUAAUGGACCAUCGUCCAGUCAGAUUAACAGCCAGGUUAAGUCUGGGCUUUCUUCAUUGCUGAAAUUUGUUUUGUCACACGGAGAACUUCAGAACAAUCAAACGUUUUUGGUAUAGUGUACAAUCGGAAUGUGGUUUACAUGAUUUAAUUUCCAUUGGUUUAAACUGAUUGAACUUCAUUUUUUUAUAAUGUUGGAAAAGCCUGCCAACUGUAGACUCCUUUGUAACUUUUCUAAAAGUCAAAUAUGAGGGAUUCUGUCACAUCCUUUCUCGAUGGUUCAUGGUCAGUUUGUUUUGCAGUCAUUUUCCAGUUGAGAGAUGUGCUGAAAUGGAGCUUGUGCAGUCUUGCAGUUGAACAUCAUACUUUAAUGUGUCAUUUGCCUAUGUUGGUGUCCAUGCAGUGUUGGUAAAAUGAUCAAAUUAAUGUUUCCUGAUGGCUGUCGGUCUUAUUUAAUCGGUUGCAUUUUGUCGAUUUGUCGUCUCUUGCUACCUAUACCGGCGUUUAGUUUAAUCGUUUUAAUUUAACCUGCAAACGACGCCAAUAUUUCUAACAGCUUGAAGGAAGAGAAAUCUAGUUUGACCAAAUUACCACGGACAUUUAAGCGAACUUGCAACAAAUUAAUGAAAAUCAUGUCCUAAAAUAUUAUACAAACACAAAAUAAGAUUUGUUUAGCUUAUCAGAAUGAGUGUAGCCAUCCCCUGAAUUUAAACCUAUGAAAAUUUGUUGAAUAAAGUAUGAAAAAAUUGA